Molecule: unclassified non-coding RNA, 206 nt
Filed under: Gyroporus sp.
Lineage: Eukaryota; Fungi; Basidiomycota; Agaricomycetes; Boletales; Gyroporaceae
Also listed under: 2 other names
Description: partial contains 5.8S ribosomal RNA, internal transcribed spacer 2, and large subunit ribosomal RNA
Source: RNAcentral
AACGCAUAUGGCACCCCUUGGCGCAUGCCGGGGGGUAUGCCUGUUUGAGAAUCAUUUCCACCGUUCCGGCGGUUGCCGUCGGAGACCUGGGCAUUCAGCACUGAUCGCCCCGAAUGCAGCGUGCGCGGUCGUGAUAGGAUUCUAUUGGUCGACCGUGCACCCCUGUCGAUGAUCUCAAAUCAGGCAGGACCACCCGCUGAACUUAA